RNAcentral lists this ribosomal RNA (253 nucleotides) under uncultured bacterium. RNAcentral's name for it is "partial 16S ribosomal RNA". It matches the Rfam family "Bacterial small subunit ribosomal RNA", at positions 524 to 776 of the family's 1533-position model. The record is from RNAcentral.
UACGGAGGGCGCAAGCGUUGUUCGGAAUUACUGGGCGUAAAGCGCGUGUAGGCGGCCAGGUAAGUCGGGUGUGAAAUCCCGGGGCCCAACCCCGGAACUGCACUCGAUACUGCCCGGCUGGAGUCCCGGAGAGGAUGGCGGAAUUUCCGGUGUAGAGGUGAAAUUCGUAGAUAUCGGAAGGAACACCAGUGGCGAAGGCGGCCAUCUGGACGGUGACUGACGCUGAGACGCGAAAGCGUGGGGAGCAAACAGG